This 244-nucleotide ribosomal RNA is filed under the name uncultured Glomeromycotina. Its description in RNAcentral is "partial small subunit ribosomal RNA". It matches the Rfam family "Eukaryotic small subunit ribosomal RNA", at positions 569 to 822 of the family's 1831-position model. Lineage: Eukaryota; Fungi; Glomeromycota. The record is from RNAcentral.
AGCAGCCGCGGUAAUUCCAGCUCCAAUAGCGUAUAUUAAAGUUGUUGCAGUUAAAAAGCCGUAGUUGAAUUUUUGAUCUGGCCGAUAGUACGACCGCGAGGUCAGUAUCUUUGGCUGGUCUUUCCUUCUGGAGAGCCAUUAUGCCAUUUAUUUGGUGUUUUGGGGAUCCAGGACUUUACCUUGAAAAAAUUUAGAGUGUUUAAAGCAGGCAUACGCUUGAAUACAUUAGCAUGGAAAAUAGAAU